Molecule: long non-coding RNA, 792 nt
Organism: Trichosurus vulpecula (common brushtail)
Lineage: Eukaryota; Metazoa; Chordata; Mammalia; Diprotodontia; Phalangeridae
Exons: 2
Source: RefSeq, a predicted model, not a curated record
CUCGUGUCUUUUUUCUAGUCCCAAGGACAUUUUCGAUCCUUCUCGGACUGCGACUGUCAGGCUGGGUCACAGACCUAGGCUCCAGUGCCACUUAGAAGAACUUGUGGAUGUGAGUGAGCCCAAGUGAAGGGAGCUACUAUCCUGUUAAGAAUGCUGAUUUGAAAUCAAUGAGGACCACCUCAAAUUCUGAUCUUCAAACAAAGUGAUGGCCUCUCUCUUGAGGCCCAAAAUCUUGGCUCCACGUGAAGAUGACUUAGUCCUCAGAGUUGAUAUCCCUAGGGGGCAAGAUGUGAUCCAAGAAAAAUCAGAUCUUGAAGUUGCUCGCCAGAGUUUUAGGUGGUAUCAAUACCCAGAAGUUGCUGGGCCCCAAGAAGCCCUCAUCCAACUCUGGGAACUCUGUUGUAAAUGGCUAAGGCCAGAGGUUCAUACAAAGGAACAGAUUCUGGAACUGCUGGUGCUAGAGCAAUUUCUAACCAUCCUGCCUGGGGAUAUCAGGAUUUGGGUCAAAUCCCAACAUCCUACAAAUAGCAAAGAGGUAGUAAGCUUGGUGGAGGACUUGACUCAAACAACUGAGGAGAGAGGUGAGAAUUACAGAAAAUUGAUGGGAUGGGAAGUAAGAAGGUAAAACUCACACCUGAAGUAAGAGAUCCAUGGAGUUAAUAGGGAAAAAAUUUCCUGGAAAUUUAGAACUCUGAUAUGGGACCUGUGGGUCACAUCAAGCCCAUUGUCUCUUUGAAGCUCCACUGUGGGCAGGAGUAUGUAUUACAUAAAUAAGAACAUUUUUAAUUGAGA